Molecule: ribosomal RNA, 253 nt
Filed under: uncultured bacterium
Lineage: Bacteria
Description: partial 16S ribosomal RNA
Rfam family: Bacterial small subunit ribosomal RNA
Source: RNAcentral
UACGGAGGAUCCAAGCGUUAUCCGGAUUUAUUGGGUUUAAAGGGUGCGUAGGCGGCCUAUUAAGUCAGGGGUGAAAGACGGUAGCUUAACUAUCGCAGUGCCUUUGAUACUGAUGGGCUUGAAUGAACUAGAGGUAGGCGGAAUGUGACAAGUAGCGGUGAAAUGCAUAGAUAUGUCACAGAACACCGAUUGCGAAGGCAGCUUACUAUGGUUUUAUUGACGCUGAGGCACGAAAGCGUGGGGAUCAAACAGG